RNAcentral lists this ribosomal RNA (795 nucleotides) under uncultured Steroidobacter sp. Its description in RNAcentral is "bacterial SSU rRNA". It matches the Rfam family "Bacterial small subunit ribosomal RNA", at positions 8 to 796 of the family's 1533-position model. The record is from RNAcentral. Lineage: Bacteria; Pseudomonadati; Pseudomonadota; Gammaproteobacteria; Steroidobacterales; Steroidobacteraceae.
AGAGUUUGAUCCUGGCUCAGAUUGAACGCUGGCGGCGUGCCUAACACAUGCAAGUCGAGCGGUAACAGGUGUAGCAAUACAUGCUGACGAGCGGCGGACGGGUGAGUAACGCUUGGGAAUCUGCCUGUUAGUGGGGGACAACCCGGGGAAACUCGGGCUAAUACCGCAUACGCACUAUGGUGGAAAGCCGGGGACCGCAAGGCCUGGCGCUAACAGAUGAGCCCAAGUCGGAUUAGCUAGUUGGUAGGGUAAUGGCCUACCAAGGCGACGAUCCGUAACUGGUCUGAGAGGACGACCAGUCACACCGGAACUGAGACACGGUCCGGACUCCUACGGGAGGCAGCAGUGGGGAAUAUUGGACAAUGGGGGCAACCCUGAUCCAGCGACGCCGCGUGGGUGAAGAAGGCCUGCGGGUUGUAAAGCCCUUUCGGUUGGGAAGAAAAGUUCUGACCUAACACGUCGGGACCUUGACGUAACCAACUAAAGAAGCACCGGCUAACUCUGUGCCAGCAGCCGCGGUAAUACAGAGGGUGCGAGCGUUAAUCGGAAUUACUGGGCGUAAAGCGCGCGUAGGCGGCUUUGUAAGUCGGUUGUGAAAUCCCCGGGCUCAACCUGGGAACUGCAUCCGAGACUGCAUGGCUAGAGUAUGGGAGAGGGAAGUGGAAUUUCAGGUGUAGCGGUGAAAUGCGUAGAUAUCUGAAGGAACAUCAGUGGCGAAAGCGACUUCCUGGACCAAUACUGACGCUCAUGUGCGAAAGCGUGGGGAGCAAACAGGAUUAGAUACCCCGGUAGUCC